RNAcentral lists this ribosomal RNA (253 nucleotides) under uncultured bacterium. RNAcentral describes it as "partial 16S ribosomal RNA". It matches the Rfam family "Bacterial small subunit ribosomal RNA", at positions 524 to 776 of the family's 1533-position model. The record is from RNAcentral.
UACGUAGGGGGCUAGCGUUGUCCGGAAUCAUUGGGCGUAAAGAGCGUGUAGGCGGUCCGGUAAGUCCGCUGUGAAAGUCGGGGGCUCAACCCUCGAAUGCCGGUGGAUACUGUCGGGCUAGAGUGCGGAAGAGGCGAGUGGAAUUCCUGGUGUAGCGGUGAAAUGCGCAGAUAUCAGGAGGAACACCUAUUGCGAAGGCAGCUCGCUGGGACGUAACUGACGCUGAGGCACGAAAGUGUGGGUAGCAAACAGG